CUUGGAUACUGGUGGGUCUUGGUCUCAUCAUUAUUCUCUGUGCUGCUCUCCUAUUCUUCAAGUGUAGACACAAGCUGCUAGGACAUCACCGGCAGCAACCAAUCACAGUACCUGACCGAGAGCCCAGAGCAGAAGAUGAAGCCAAUUACACAUAUAUCGAUAUCAACUACUUGAGGAGAGUACCUGACCGAGAGCCCGAAGCAGAAGAUGAAGCUAAUUACACAUAUAUCGAUAUCAACAAUUUGAGAAGAGCCUCCCCGGCUCCAGAGACGGGAAAGGAUAACGAUUAUUCUGUUAUAUACUCACUGGUGACACAAGCAGCCUCCAGUCAAGCCACGAACAGCUCAUCCACUUCCGAAUU
Molecule: long non-coding RNA, 361 nt
Organism: Pseudophryne corroboree (corroboree frog)
Lineage: Eukaryota; Metazoa; Chordata; Amphibia; Anura; Myobatrachidae
Exons: 5
Source: RefSeq, a predicted model, not a curated record